Molecule: long non-coding RNA, 1918 nt
Organism: Acinonyx jubatus (cheetah)
Lineage: Eukaryota; Metazoa; Chordata; Mammalia; Carnivora; Felidae
Exons: 6
Source: RefSeq, a predicted model, not a curated record
CAGAAAGUCCUGAGCUUACGUCUAAAAACAAAGCUUCAGGCUAUCCCAGCUCUUCCCAGCUCGCUGUGUGAAAAGCUAACAUGGCCUUGAGCGCCGGCUAGACUUGGCUGGGAAACCUCCUUCUCCUGUCUGGGGUGUGAUUCUAGCCAGCUCAGGAGCCCAGGUGAUCCCCCAUGGUUGGGGACCAAGAAGACGUAGUUUGUGAAUCCAGGUUAAGCAGUCACUGGCUGUACCCACGAAAACUCCAGAAAGUGCCGCCAUCCUUGAGAAAAAUCUGCCUUCAGACUGACCGAGGUGCUGAUCGAUCCUUUCCGCAAAGGAGCUCUGGGAAGUGGGAAACUUUUGCCAGAGGACAGACUGCAGAAGGAUCCAAGAGUCACCUUUGCUCAGGUUUCUGCUGGAAUGAACUUACUCGGAGGCUCAUUCUAGAUGCUGCAAUGCGAGCAGACCACAGGAAGAAACAGCAGACGGUGAUUGGGUGGCUCCUGUGUAAUCCAGAGAAACCUCCCAGGUUGCCAAAGCCAGGUUUGCUUGUUCCCUACAACUUUGACCAAACCCAGAUGCCCUGGCCCAGAUAAUGAACUUGGUAAAUGUUAGCAUUCGUUUGCAAAUUGUCUUCUCCUCCAUCAAAGAGAUGGGGACUGAGACCUGGAAAUACGUAAAAGCUUAAAGGCUAGGACCCGCCACCGACUGAGAAUCCACAUAAAUGAUGCAAAACUCCUCUAAAAUUAUCAUACACUGUUCUCCACUCCUCCGAUUUGGUUCCCUUCUCCAGAACAUGAAGAUUUCUUACGGAGAUUACUUUAUCUUUCCCUUUACAAAAUCAGUUUUGAGGAAUUUCUGGCUCAUCAAGAGAAGCAGCCAUGACAUUGGGGUCAUCCUCCAGACAAAUACCUCAUCUCGCCUGAUGAAAUCAGGAAGGUGCUUCUGGUGUCCAAGGGAUGAAUGUCUCAUCUCCUGGGAGGGGACUGAAGUCCUCGGCCAGGGGAAGCCAGAACAUCUGUUACAGGCAUGAUCCAGCCUGCUGGCUGAGCGGAAUCUACGGAGGCACUUAGAAUAAAGCCUUGGGUCUUCAUGAGAAGACAUUGCCGUGGUCAUCAAGCCAUUUGCAAUGGAAUCCAGGAUGCGCUCAUAGGGACUAAAUACGCUUAUGAAAAAAUGGUUAUUAGUAUAAUAGUGGGUCCAAAAAGCUCACUGUCUCAGGCACUGACUUUCCUUUGGCUCAUUUGAAAAAAAAAGAUGGGGCACCUGGGUGGCUCAGUCGGUUAAGCGGCCGACUUCGGCUCAGGUCACGACCUCGCGGUCCGUGAGUUCGAGCCCCGCAUCGGGCUCUGUGCUGACAGCUCGGAGCCCGGAGCCUGUUUCGGAUUCUGUGUCUCCCUGUCUCUGACCCUCCCCCGUUCAUGCUCUGUCUCUCCCUGUCUCAAAAAUAAAUAAAACGUUAAAAAAUUUUUUGAAAAAAAAAGUUUUGUUUUUGUUUUUUUUUUUUUUUUACUCACUGGAAACAGACUUAAUAUUUCAGGAAGAACAUUUUCACGAACAGAAAUUAAUUUUGCAGAUUCAACAGAGCAGUUCAGAUAAUGAAAAAGACUGGAAAGACAAUGCAAAAGAAGUUUGACUUUUGUUCCCAAAGCACUGUGGGUGCUCCAGCUGGUACUUCUCUUAGAAAUAAAACUUGAGGGGUGCCUGGGUGGCGCAGUCGGUUAAGCGUCCGACUUCAGCCAGGUCACGAUCUCGCGGUCCGUGAGUUCGAGCCCCGCGUCAGGCUCUGGGCGGAUGGCUCAGAGCCUGGAGCCUGUUUCCGAUUCUGCGUCUCCCUCUCUCUCUGCCCCUCCCCCGUUCAUGCUCUGUCUCUCUCUGUCCCAAAAAUAAAUAAACGUUGAAAAAAAAAAUUAAAAAAAAAAAAGAAAUAAAACUU